UUAACAUUAUUUUAUUUUAUUUUAUUUUAUUUCUUUUCUGUUCUAAAUUCUGCCAGGGUAUGUAAACGUAUGAGCAUAACUGUAUGACAAUUCAUAGUGCUUAGCCCUGACAAAAUGUACAUUGAAGUGUUUAAGGCCUCUACUUACAUUACACUUGAUAUUGGUACAUAAUAAACAUCCAUGUGGCAGACACAAACAACAUGAGGGCAAAUGUAAAAGGUACA
Thalassophryne amazonica is the source of this 224-nucleotide long non-coding RNA. RefSeq lists it as uncharacterized. The transcript has 3 exons. NCBI's taxonomy places the organism in Eukaryota, Metazoa, Chordata, Actinopteri, Batrachoidiformes, Batrachoididae. The record is from RefSeq and is a predicted model, not a curated record.